Molecule: ribosomal RNA, 2900 nt
Filed under: Escherichia coli p0305293.1
Lineage: Bacteria; Pseudomonadati; Pseudomonadota; Gammaproteobacteria; Enterobacterales; Enterobacteriaceae
Description: bacterial LSU rRNA
Rfam family: Bacterial large subunit ribosomal RNA
Source: RNAcentral
UAAGCGACUAAGCGUACACGGUGGAUGCCCUGGCAGUCAGAGGCGAUGAAGGACGUGCUAAUCUGCGAUAAGCGUCGGUAAGGUGAUAUGAACCGUUAUAACCGGCGAUUUCCGAAUGGGGAAACCCAGUGUGAUUCGUCACACUAUCAUUAACUGAAUCCAUAGGUUAAUGAGGCGAACCGGGGGAACUGAAACAUCUAAGUACCCCGAGGAAAAGAAAUCAACCGAGAUUCCCCCAGUAGCGGCGAGCGAACGGGGAGCAGCCCAGAGCCUGAAUCAGUGUGUGUGUUAGUGGAAGCGUCUGGAAAGGCGCGCGAUACAGGGUGACAGCCCCGUACACAAAAAUGCACAUGCUGUGAGCUCGAUGAGUAGGGCGGGACACGUGGUAUCCUGUCUGAAUAUGGGGGGACCAUCCUCCAAGGCUAAAUACUCCUGACUGACCGAUAGUGAACCAGUACCGUGAGGGAAAGGCGAAAAGAACCCCGGCGAGGGGAGUGAAAAAGAACCUGAAACCGUGUACGUACAAGCAGUGGGAGCACGCUUAGGCGUGUGACUGCGUACCUUUUGUAUAAUGGGUCAGCGACUUAUAUUCUGUAGCAAGGUUAACCGAAUAGGGGAGCCGAAGGGAAACCGAGUCUUAACUGGGCGUUAAGUUGCAGGGUAUAGACCCGAAACCCGGUGAUCUAGCCAUGGGCAGGUUGAAGGUUGGGUAACACUAACUGGAGGACCGAACCGACUAAUGUUGAAAAAUUAGCGGAUGACUUGUGGCUGGGGGUGAAAGGCCAAUCAAACCGGGAGAUAGCUGGUUCUCCCCGAAAGCUAUUUAGGUAGCGCCUCGUGAAUUCAUCUCCGGGGGUAGAGCACUGUUUCGGCAAGGGGGUCAUCCCGACUUACCAACCCGAUGCAAACUACGAAUACCGGAGAAUGUUAUCACGGGAGACACACGGCGGGUGCUAACGUCCGUCGUGAAGAGGGAAACAACCCAGACCGCCAGCUAAGGUCCCAAAGUCAUGGUUAAGUGGGAAACGAUGUGGGAAGGCCCAGACAGCCAGGAUGUUGGCUUAGAAGCAGCCAUCAUUUAAAGAAAGCGUAAUGGCUCACUGGUCGAGUCGGCCUGCGCGGAAGAUGUAACGGGGCUAAACCAUGCACCGAAGCUGCGGCAGCGACGCUGAUGCGUUGUUGGGUAGGGGAGCGUUCUGUAAGCCUGCGAAGGUGUGCUGUGAGGCAUGCUGGAGGUAUCAGAAGUGCGAAUGCUGACAUAAGUAACGAUAAAGCGGGUGAAAAGCCCGCUCGCCGGAAGACCAAGGGUUCCUGUCCAACGUUAAUCGGGGCAGGGUGAGUCGACCCCUAAGGCGAGGCCGAAAGGCGUAGUCGAUGGGAAACAGGUUAAUAUUCCUGUACUUGGUGUUACUGCGAAGGGGGGACGGAGAAGGCUAUGUUGGCCGGGCGACGGUUGUCCCGGUUUAAGCGUGUAGGCUGGUUUUCCAGGCAAAUCCGGAAAAUCAAGGCUGAGGCGUGAUGACGAGGCACUACGGUGCUGAAGCAACAAAUGCCCUGCUUCCAGGAAAAGCCUCUAAGCAUCAGGUAACAUCAAAUCGUACCCCAAACCGACACAGGUGGUCAGGUAGAGAAUACCAAGGCGCUUGAGAGAACUCGGGUGAAGGAACUAGGCAAAAUGGUGCCGUAACUUCGGGAGAAGGCACGCUGAUAUGUAGGUGAAGUCCCUCGCGGAUGGAGCUGAAAUCAGUCGAAGAUACCAGCUGGCUGCAACUGUUUAUUAAAAACACAGCACUGUGCAAACACGAAAGUGGACGUAUACGGUGUGACGCCUGCCCGGUGCCGGAAGGUUAAUUGAUGGGGUUAGCGCAAGCGAAGCUCUUGAUCGAAGCCCCGGUAAACGGCGGCCGUAACUAUAACGGUCCUAAGGUAGCGAAAUUCCUUGUCGGGUAAGUUCCGACCUGCACGAAUGGCGUAAUGAUGGCCAGGCUGUCUCCACCCGAGACUCAGUGAAAUUGAACUCGCUGUGAAGAUGCAGUGUACCCGCGGCAAGACGGAAAGACCCCGUGAACCUUUACUAUAGCUUGACACUGAACAUUGAGCCUUGAUGUGUAGGAUAGGUGGGAGGCUUUGAAGUGUGGACGCCAGUCUGCAUGGAGCCGACCUUGAAAUACCACCCUUUAAUGUUUGAUGUUCUAACGUGGACCCGUAAUCCGGGUUGCGGACAGUGUCUGGUGGGUAGUUUGACUGGGGCGGUCUCCUCCUAAAGAGUAACGGAGGAGCACGAAGGUUGGCUAAUCCUGGUCGGACAUCAGGAGGUUAGUGCAAUGGCAUAAGCCAGCUUGACUGCGAGCGUGACGGCGCGAGCAGGUGCGAAAGCAGGUCAUAGUGAUCCGGUGGUUCUGAAUGGAAGGGCCAUCGCUCAACGGAUAAAAGGUACUCCGGGGAUAACAGGCUGAUACCGCCCAAGAGUUCAUAUCGACGGCGGUGUUUGGCACCUCGAUGUCGGCUCAUCACAUCCUGGGGCUGAAGUAGGUCCCAAGGGUAUGGCUGUUCGCCAUUUAAAGUGGUACGCGAGCUGGGUUUAGAACGUCGUGAGACAGUUCGGUCCCUAUCUGCCGUGGGCGCUGGAGAAUUGAGGGGGGCUGCUCCUAGUACGAGAGGACCGGAGUGGACGCAUCACUGGUGUUCGGGUUGUCAUGCCAAUGGCACUGCCCGGUAGCUAAAUGCGGAAGAGAUAAGUGCUGAAAGCAUCUAAGCACGAAACUUGCCCCGAGAUGAGUUCUCCCUGACUCCUUGAGAGUCCUGAAGGAACGUUGAAGACGACGACGUUGAUAGGCCGGGUGUGUAAGCGCAGCGAUGCGUUGAGCUAACCGGUACUAAUGAACCGUGAGGCUUAACCU